This 277-nucleotide unclassified non-coding RNA is filed under the name uncultured Orbiliales. RNAcentral's name for it is "sequence contains 5.8S rRNA gene, ITS2, 28S rRNA gene". Lineage: Eukaryota; Fungi; Ascomycota; Orbiliomycetes; Orbiliales. The record is from RNAcentral.
AACGCACAUUGCGCCCAUUGGUAUUCCUUUGGGCAUGUCUGUUUGAGCGUCAUUACAACCCCUCAGCGCAAGCUGGUAUUGAGUCAAGCAGCUUGGAAACCAUCUGGUUUACUUGGGCUCUUGCUUUAAAGUUGUACGCUCUGCUGGCUGCUUGUCUGACCAAAAACAUAGUAAUAUUAUACAUUGUUUUAUAAUCGGAUCUUGCACGCUCGGCCUGAACAAAACCAUUUUUCUUAGGUUUGACCUCAGAUCAGACAAGGAUACCCGCUGAACUUAA